RNAcentral lists this ribosomal RNA (253 nucleotides) under uncultured bacterium. RNAcentral's name for it is "partial 16S ribosomal RNA". It matches the Rfam family "Bacterial small subunit ribosomal RNA", at positions 524 to 776 of the family's 1533-position model. The record is from RNAcentral.
UACGUAGGGUGCGAGCGUUGUCCGGAAUUACUGGGCGUAAAGAGCUCGUAGGUGGUUUGUCGCGUUGUUCGUGAAAACUCACAACUCAAUUGUGGGCGUGCGGGCGAUACGGGCAGACUGGAGUACUGCAGGGGAGAAUGGAAUUCCUGGUGUAGCGGUGGAAUGCGCAGAUAUCAGGAGGAACACCGGUGGCGAAGGCGGGUCUCUGGGCAGUAACUGACGCUGAGGAGCGAAAGCGUGGGGAGCGAACAGG